UACGUAGGUGGCAAGCGUUGUCCGGAUUUAUUGGGUUUAAAGGGUGCGUAGGCGGUCCUAUAAGUCAGUUGUGAAAUACGGCAGCUUAACUGUCGAGGUGCAAUUGAUACUGCAGGACUUGAGUACAGACGAGGUAGGCGGAAUUGACGGUGUAGCGGUGAAAUGCUUAGAUAUCGUCAAGAACACCGAUAGCGAAGGCAGCUUACUAGACUGUAACUGACGCUGAUGCACGAAAGUGUGGGGAUCAAACAGGAUUAGAUACCCUGGUAGUCCACACUGUAAACGAUGAUUACUCGAUGUUGGCGAUACACAGCCAGCGUCUUAGCAAAAGCGAUAAGUAAUCCACCUGGGGAGUACGCCGGCAACGGUGAA
RNAcentral lists this ribosomal RNA (372 nucleotides) under uncultured bacterium. RNAcentral describes it as "bacterial SSU rRNA". It matches the Rfam family "Bacterial small subunit ribosomal RNA", at positions 524 to 898 of the family's 1533-position model. The record is from RNAcentral.